Molecule: long non-coding RNA, 5553 nt
Filed under: Mytilus galloprovincialis (Mediterranean mussel)
Lineage: Eukaryota; Metazoa; Mollusca; Bivalvia; Mytilida; Mytilidae
Source: RNAcentral
AAAAAAUGGUGGCAAAGUGUUUAUUUCAUCACACAAGUUGCGAAAUUUCCUUAAAACAGCUGCUAUAUUUAUGAUUGUGAACAUUAGGAUGUAUCAGGCAAUUGACUUAUAUUAUUGGCAACGCUACAAAAAUGUAAAUGCACUUUUGACAUGAGUUCAGUUUAUUUUUCCCUUUACGACGGAAAUAAAAUGACUAUUUAAAGGGUAAAACAGUAAAAAAAUAGGGUAGGUCAGGUAACCGUAAACAGACAUAUAUUUUUUUGGCCUUAGGAAAGACUAAAAGAAGCAAUAAUCUGAGGCUAAUUAAUAUGUAGUUUGUUAUCACGACUGCCAACUUUGACAUAUUAUUUUUAUAUAUAUAUAUAAAAAUUAUUAUCAGUAUUAAAAUUGAAUAGUCACUGCAUGCAUUUUCCCUCUAAAAAAUAGAGUACAUGUAUGACAUCAAAUAUCUGAACUGUGUCCCUGUUCAGUGUUGGUUGGAAUUAAAUCCAUUACUCAAAGCUAAAUCCCCAGUAAACAGAAUCGAACUAUAAUGGUAUUUGUAAAAUUUUCUUUGUGAAACCACAUGACCAAGAGGCAGAAAAAAGCCCCACUUGUAAUAAAGCUGUGUAUUCUGUUACAACAGACAACUGUGUGCAAGCAUGAAAGUAUGCAAAUCAUCAUUUUUUAAACUAAACAGCUGUUUAGAAACGGUCAAACCGAUAGAUGAGAGGGGAGGGUCUCAUAUUCUUAUUGCUGUGAAUGUAAGUCUACCUCAAUCUACUGAUGAUACAAAAAAUAACAACACAUACAUGUACAAGUGUUUUUCAUGACACUUAGCUGAUAUUGUAACAUAAGCUCCCUUAUGCUCAUGAUUUUUAUUUAUUUUUAGAUUUACUUAUUCUAGUUAUCAGGAUUUUAUCUUUUUAUAUACCAAAACUUUUAAUCUUUAAAAAAGUGCGGGUACAAUUGCAAAUGUAUACGGUUUCUAUUUCUAUCUAUACAUCUUUAAAACAGCCAGAUUUUUGGAUAGAGAGUCGGGGGUGGAUCCAGCCAUUUUAAAAAGGGGGGGGUUCCAACUGUAUGUCCCCAUUCAAAUACAUUGAUCGGCCAAAAAAACAGGGGUUCCAACCCCGGAAUAGACCCCCCCCCCCUUGGAUUCGCCAAUGAGAGUUGUCUCAUUGGCACUCAUAUAUUUUGUACCACAUCUUCCUAUACAUCUAUAUCUAGACAGACUGACUAUAUUAAAGUCAGUCUGUCUGUCUGUUCCAUGAAUUUUUUUCGUCCAUCUUUCUCAGGAAAAUAACAAGGAUUUCUAAAAUUUGCUUUCAGGGUUUAUAUGAAUCAGCAAUACCUUGUGAUGCUUUUUCAUAUUCAUCAUUCAACAACUUCCUGUGUACCUUAAAAUUCUUAAAGUUUAUGAGGGUUAUCAUAAGCGAUCAGUAGCUCACAGAUUCACUUGUUUGUUUCAGAUUAUUUUAUAUAUUUUUUGUUGGGGGAGGGAGCUGACUAUUUUGAGCAGUGCUCUCAGCACUUCUAUUUAAUCAUAAAAGUUACAUUAAGACGAGCAAACAUUAGCAACAUGCGUAUCAUGGGUUUAUUUAAUUUGCAUUAUAAACAAACUUGUGUGGCAAAAGUAAUUUCUUUAUUUUAAAAAAUAUAUGAUUCAUUAUCAUGAUGAUUAUACACAGAUAGUCAUACAUGUUACAUGUAUACACAGGUUCAUACUAUUUUUGUAUAUAUAGCUCUGUAACAGUUUCAGUACUUCAUUUGUUUGUACUUAUACAUCUUUGGAUUUUAAAUGUUUGGCUUUGAUGAGUGUUCCUGAUGAAAGUAAAUCCAGAAAAGCACUUUGGACGCAUGAAAUUAUUAAACGUGUUUAUCAAUUUUUCAUGCUCCUUAUUUUAAAACUAAAGUAUAUUAUUAUAAUCUUUUUUUUUUUAGGUCGCCUGAGAAUUACAGGACUGAGGUUACAGUAUGCCAUUCAAGCUUGGGUGAAAUAUAAAGUAAUGGUUUGAAUUUGGGAUCUUUAUUAUAGACAGGUAAAUUGUUUAUCCUGCAAUUAUCUACAUGUAACUAUUGUACAAUGAGACGACUCUCCUCAAAAGACCAAGUGAAACAGAAAUUAAAAACUAUAGGUCACCAUUUAGGCAUUAUGGCCUUCAACAAUGAGAAAAACACAUAAAAGGCCCCAAAUCAUAAAUGUUAAUAAACAUGUUGAAGGAGAAAACUAAUGGCCUAAUUUAUGAGGACAAAAAAAAUGAAUGAACAAACAAACAACAAGUGCUUAAUUACAGACACAAACAUACAGAAUGUGGCGGGGUUAAAGUUGAUUGUUUAACGGUUAAAUAUGUUAGCAAGCCAGGCUUUUCUUCCUGUUCUUAUAAUACAUGUACGUGCAAAUAAAUUUCUGUUUUCUUACAUCGUGAGAAGAUUGUAUGAUGUAAAUUUAGAACUUUAUAUAUGUUAUAUGGCAAUGAUUUUAAAAGGCAACUUUGAAUACAAAAUGUAUCUCAUUUUUAGCUCACCUGUCCCGAAGGGACAAGUGAGCUUAUGCCAUCACUUGGCGUCCGUCGUCGCCAUCGUCUGUCGUCUGUCGUCGUAACAUUUCAAGAUCUUCUCUCUGAAUACUGGGCAAAUACUUUCAAACUUUAAAUGAAUGUUGGGUAUCUAAUUAUAAAUGUAUCCGAAGUUUUGAUCUUCAACAAACAGGCGCCAUUGCUAAAAAUAGAACAUAGGGGUCAAAUGCAGUUUUUGGCUUAUAACUCAAAAACCAAAGCAUUUAGAGCAAUUCUGACAAGGGGUAAUAUUGUUUAUCAGGUCAAGAUCUAUCUGCCCUGAAAUUUUCAGAUGAAUCAGACAACCCAUUGUUGGGUUGCUGCCCCUGAAUUGGUAAUUUUAAGGAAAUUUUGCUGUUUUCGGUUAUUAUCUUGAAUAUUAUUAUAGAUAGAGAUAAACUGUCAACAGGAAUAAUGUUCAGCAAAGUAAGAUUUACAAAUAAGUCAACAUGACGGAAAUGGUCAGUUGACCCCUUUAGGAGUUAUUGCCUUUAUAGUCAAUUUUUUAACCAUUUUUUGUAAAUCUUAGUAAUCUUUUACAAAAAUCUUCUCCUCUGAAACUACUGGGCAAAUACUUCCAACUUUAAUUGAAUGUUCCUUAGGGUAUCUAGUUUGUAAUUGUAUCGAAGUUAUGAUCUAUCAACAAACAUGGUCACCGUUGCUAAAAUAGAACAUAGGUCAAAUGCAGUUUUUGGUUUAUAACUCAAAACCAAAGCAUUUAGAGCAAAUCUGACAUGAGGUAAUAUUGUUUAUCAGGUCAAGAUCUAUCUGCCCUGAAAUUUUUCAGAUGAAUUGACAACCUGUUGUGGGUUGCUGCCCCUGAAUUGGUAAUUUUAAGGAAAUUUUGCUGUUUUUGGUUAUUAUCUUGAAUAUUAUUAUAGAUAGAGAUAAACUGUAAACAGGAAUAAUGUUCAGUUAAGUAAGAUUUACAAAUAAGUCAACAUGACGGAAAUGGUCAGUUGACCCUUUAGGAGUUAUUGCCCUUUAUAAUCAAUUUUUAACCAUUUUCGUAAAUCUUAGUAAUCUUUUACAAAAAUCUUCUCCUCUGAAACUACUGGGCCAAAUACUUCAAACUUUAACUGAAUGUUCCUUAGGGUAUCUAGUUUUGUAAAUUGUAUCUGAAGUUAUUGAUCUAUCAACAAACAUGGUCGCCAUGCUAAAAAUAGAACAUAGGGUCAAAUGCAGUUUUGGCUAUAACUCAAAAACCAAAGCAUUUAGAGCAAAUCUGACGGGGUUAAAUUGUUUAUCAGGUAAAGAUCUGUCUGCCCGGAAAUUUUCAGAUGAAUCUAACAACCCUUUGUUGGGUUGCUGCCCCUGAAUCAGUAAUUUUAAGGAAAUUUUGCAAUUUUUGGUUAUUAUCUUGAAUAUUAUUAUAGAUAGAGAUAAACUGUAACAGCAAUAAUGUUCAGCAAAGUAAGAUUUACAAUAAGUCAACAUGACUGAAAUGGUCAGUUGACCCAUUUAGGAGUUAUUGCCCUUUAUAGUAAAUUUUUUACCAUUUUUCGUAAAUCUUAGUAAUGUUUUACAAAAAUCUUCUCCUCUGAAACUACUGGGCCAAUACUUCCAAACUUAACUGAUGUUCCUUAGGUAUCUAGUUUGUAAAUUGUAUCUGAGUAUGAUCUAUCAAAACAUGCGCAUUGCUAAAAAUAGACAUAGGGCAAUGCAGUUUUGGCUAUAAACUCAAACCAAAGCAUUAGCAAACUGACGUUGGUAAUAUUGUUUAUCAGGCAAGAUCUAUCUGCCCUGAAAUUGUCAGAUGAAUCAGACAACCUGUUGUUGGGUUCUGCCGAAUUGAUAAUUUUAAGGAAAUUUUGCUGUUUUUGUUAUCUUGAAUAUAAUUAUAGAUAGAAAUAAACUGUAACAGCAAUAAUGUCAGCAAAGUAAGAUCUUCAUAAGUCAAUUUGACCAAAAUUGUCAAUUGACCCUUAAGGAGUUAUUGCCCUUUAAGACUUUUUUCACAAUUUGUCAUCAUGGUUACUUACUUUAAAAAAUUUCUCCUUUGAAACUGCUGUUAUCAAUUUCAGCCAAAUUAGGCUAAAUGAGUUUCGAGAUUAGUAUAAAUUUUAUAUUUUAUUUCCUUGUAUGUCAAGACCAUAGCUCUAUGGCUAAAAUAGAACAUAGGAGAAAAUGAUUUUUUUUUGGACUUUUGAAGAAAUAGGACGAUCCAAAAAACAUUUAAAUAAAUUGAAAAGCCAAAAUAAUCAUUGAUGAGAGUUUAACCAAAAGAAUUAAGGUGAGCGAUUCAGGCUCUUGAGAGCCUCUUGUUAUAAGAACUGACAUUCUGAAAUCUAUACAUCAUGUACAUGCAUGACAAAUAAGUAACUGUACAAGUAUGUAGAUAUAUUCUGAAAUAGCACAAUUUUAUACAUUCUUCAAGAAUUGCAAUACAAUAAUUAAUGUACCCAAUAUAAAUCAUGAUAAUUUUCUUAAUUAAAAAUGAAGUGUCUGUACCAGCAAUAAUAUUUAUAAACACAGACAUGACGGAUACACCUAUAAUAAUAUACUGAACUUGCAAGCUAAAAUUUCUUUUGGAUUACUGAUAUUGAUCAUGUUGAUAUUGAAGUAUUCCUGUCAUUGUUCACAUUUGGAAAAGGAGAUAUAAAUAACAUAAAUUUAAAUAUUUAUUUACACAUAGUGCUCUUUUUUAAAAUGUGUGAAAAUUUAAUUUUUGUACAAAUGUUGAAUGAAGACAUUUAUAUACUACAGGUAAAAAAGGAUGGGAAUUAUUUUGUUUACAUUUUAACUUUUUGAAGAAGUAUGACUUUUUUACUUUUUCAUUUUGAAAAAUUUCAUUUGAUAUAUACAUUGUACAUGUACAUGUAUUAUAUUUGGAUUUUUAUAUUUCAGGGAUAAAGACCUUAGACCUGCAGUCAGACAACAGUUAAAAGUUACUUAUUAUAUAACUCAUGAUCAUCAUGGCCAUUAUCAUGAUUAUGGAAGAUCUGAUUAAAAUUUGUUUAGAAAGCUACCAAGUAUGUCCGUGAAAAAUAGAAAAAAGACAGCAAUUCUACAUAAU